AUUUAUUCCAAAGCCCGAAGUAAACAAAAUAAUAAAGUAUCUUUAUAUUUUGUUUUUUUUUUAUUUCAUGAAAAUUUUGAUGGGUGCUUAACCGUGAUUUAUAAUAGAUUGUUAACAAAGUAUACAUAUUUUAUUUAGAUAUUUUAAAAGAAGAAUUUUGAAUUUCUAUUUGGUUUUCAAACUUACUUGGACGAAUUUUAAAGCUUGAGUGGACACGGCAUUACAAGUGAUGUGGCGGAACAACUGAAUAUGAGAGACAAUCCUGUGAACGUGCUUUUGAUAAUCAUACUCGCGGGUAAAUAGGUUGAGCUCCCGUGGUGUACUGGUAUCCCAAAGGCCAUAAGAAUUGCGAAGGAAAACGAAAAAUCAAGGCAGCACACACUUAAAAAUAAAGUCACAGAAGCAGAAACAUAACUUUGGUAAAUAAAAAUUAUCGACUAUUUAACGAUUUGUGGACAUUACUCUGCUCGUUCGAACAAUAAAUGAUUUAUAGAAAAAAAAAAAAGAAAAAGAUAGGAAGAACCGGCAAUGUAUGUCUCGUCAUAUUUCAGUGGCGUAUUGACUAUUGUAAUAAAUAAUUUAACACACUCAUUACGGAUGUGUUAAAUUUGAUUUCAAUGUUUUACUCGUAACAACCAAUCAGCACAGUCGAACGUUCACAGGACAAAGCUAUGUAAACGAACUGGACUUAAAACAUGACCAUUGUAGGGUAUAGACAAAUCCGACUGUGAUUUACCACGUAUGUUUUGGAUACCAUUGACGACACAGAUGGCCAAUUAUUAUAGUGAUUUGAAAUGAAUGUUCAGAUAUAAUCCAUUAUUAUUGAAGAUUACUUGAAACUCACAUGCAGUUAUUAAAUUGAAACGCACGGUUAUAUAUAUAUGAUUGUUGGUAGUUGCGUCGAGCGAAAAUAGUGACUAGAAAUCAGAAAAUGUUAAGAUUUCCUAAAAACGGUCUACAUGAAUUUGGCUGAUUAAAUCGUGCUCGGAUUACGAGUUUACGGACUUCCAAGAUGGUAUACCAUAAAUAUUGAAUUGCGUAAUGAAUCAUAAAAUAUAUUAUUAACAUUCUCGUAAUGACUAUAUUAUUGCUAUAAGUAUGCGAAGAUCAAACAUUUUUAUAUGUUUGAAGAUUAUAAUAAAUAUUAUACAUUACACAUAAUAUAUUUUUAUUCGAGUACAAAGAUAAAUGUGCUCUCACUCACUUUCACAGUAGGCUGCAGUUGCACUUAUAUUAUUAUGCAUAUAACCUAUAACCGAAGGUAAGUAUAUUCAUAUAAAAACAACAAAAAAAAAAAAAAAAAUGUAUAUAAAACGAGUUGGUUUUCA
Long non-coding RNA from Aphis gossypii (cotton aphid), 1328 nucleotides. RefSeq lists it as uncharacterized. The transcript has 5 exons. The record is from RefSeq and is a predicted model, not a curated record. NCBI's taxonomy places the organism in Eukaryota, Metazoa, Arthropoda, Insecta, Hemiptera, Aphididae.